Molecule: ribosomal RNA, 292 nt
Filed under: uncultured Verrucomicrobiota bacterium
Lineage: Bacteria; Pseudomonadati; Verrucomicrobiota
Description: uncultured Verrucomicrobia bacterium partial 16S ribosomal RNA
Source: RNAcentral
GGACUACCGGGGUUUCUAAUCCCGUUUGCUCCCCUAGCCUUCGUGCCUCAGCGUCAGAUGCUGUCCAGGACUUCGCUUUCGCUGCGAGCGUUCUUCUCGAAAUCUACGCAUUUCACUGCUACACCGAGAAUUCCAAGUCCCUCUCCAGAUCUCUAGCGAAGCAGUAUCAGAUGCAAGUUGGAGGUUGAGCCUCCAAAUUUCACAUCCGACUUACUCCGCAGCCUACGCACCCUUUACGCCCAGUGAUUCCGAACAACGCUUGAGACCUCUGUAUUACCGCGGCUGCUGGCAC